Molecule: ribosomal RNA, 413 nt
Filed under: uncultured Methanocalculus sp.
Lineage: Archaea; Methanobacteriati; Methanobacteriota; Methanomicrobia; Methanomicrobiales; Methanocalculaceae
Description: bacterial SSU rRNA
Rfam family: Archaeal small subunit ribosomal RNA
Source: RNAcentral
GUGCACCAGUCGAGAAAACUUUACAAUGCGAGCAAUCGUGAUAAGGAAACCCUGAGUGCCUGUCAAUGCAGGCUGUUCUGGUGUCUAACACACACCAGGAGAAAGGGCGGGGCAAGACCGGUGCCAGCCGCCGCGGUAAUACCGGCUGCUCGAGUGAUAGCCACUUUUACUGGGCUUAAAGCGUUCGUAGCUUGGUCGUUAGGUCUCUGGGGAAAUCUUUUGGCUCAACCAAAAGGCGUCUCAGGGAAACUGGCGAUCUUGGAACCGGGAGAGGUAAGACGUACUUCGGGGGUAGGAGUGAAAUCUUGUAAUCCCCGAGGGACGACCGAUGGCGAAGGCAUCUUACCAGAACGGCUUCGACAGUGAGGGACGAAAGCUGGGGGAGCAAACCGGAUUAGAUACCCAUGUAGUCC